UAUAAAUUGAGAGUUUGAUCCUGGCUCAGGACGAACGCUGGCGGCGUGCCUAAUACAUGCAAGUCGAACGAAGCUUUUGAUCAAUAAAUGCUUGCAUUUAGCGAUUAAAAGACUGAGUGGCGAACGGGUGAGUAACACGUAGGCAACCUGCCCAAAAGAGGGGGAUAACACUUGGAAAC
This 179-nucleotide ribosomal RNA is filed under the name Ligilactobacillus ruminis. RNAcentral describes it as "Lactobacillus ruminis 16S rRNA. Bacterial SSU". It matches the Rfam family "Bacterial small subunit ribosomal RNA", at positions 1 to 157 of the family's 1533-position model. The record is from RNAcentral. Lineage: Bacteria; Bacillati; Bacillota; Bacilli; Lactobacillales; Lactobacillaceae.